CCAAUAGCGUAUAUUAAAGUUGUUGCAGUUAAAAAGCUCGUAGUUGAAUUUCGGGAUUGACGUGACGGUCAUGCCUUAAGGGGUAUGAACUGUUACUGUCGAUUUCUCACCUUCUGGAGAAACUUGAUGUCCUUUAUUGGGUGUCUUGCGGAUCCAGGACCUUUACCUUGAAAAAAUUAGAGUGUUUAAAGCAGGCAUUUUUGCUCGAAUACAUUAGCAUGGAAUAAUAGAAUAGGACGGCAUGGUUCUAUUUUGUUGGUUUCUAGGAUCACCGUAAUGAUUAAUAGGGAUAGUUGGGGGCAUUAGUAUUCAAUUGUCAGAGGUGAAAUUCUUGGAUUUAUUGAAGACUAACUACUGCGAAAGCAUUUGCCAAGGAUGUUUUCAUUAAUCAAGAACGAAAGUUAGGGGAUCGAAGACGAUCAGAUACCGUCGUAGUCUUAACCAUAAACUAUGCCGACUAGGAAUCAGACGAUGUUAAUUUUUUAAUGACUCGUUUGGCACCUUACG
This 507-nucleotide ribosomal RNA is filed under the name uncultured Glomeromycotina. Its description in RNAcentral is "partial small subunit ribosomal RNA". It matches the Rfam family "Eukaryotic small subunit ribosomal RNA", at positions 591 to 1092 of the family's 1831-position model. The record is from RNAcentral. Lineage: Eukaryota; Fungi; Glomeromycota.